RNA transcript from Vombatus ursinus (common wombat), 1352 nucleotides. It is a transcript of the gene named kinetochore localized astrin (SPAG5) binding protein, with no coding region annotated. The transcript is spliced from 10 exons. Lineage: Eukaryota; Metazoa; Chordata; Mammalia; Diprotodontia; Vombatidae. The record is from RefSeq and is a predicted model, not a curated record.
CGUGCGACUGGCGGUUUCUGUGGAGUGUGAGUGAUGAUGGAGAAGGACCCGGCCUCGGCCGUGGAGCGUCUGGGGCUCCCGCCCGGCCCCGCUUGCAGAGCCAGCACCGCCAGGUCUGCGUUCGCCUGCCCAGCCCCCUCGGCGGCGCUGGGCGGAGGGCAGCCCGCGGAGACACAUUCUCGAGCUGCUUCUAAGAGUCAGAUACCCCAGAGGUGCAAGGAGAUAGAACUCUACAAGGCUCUCAGCUCAACAGGCCUAGAGAAUGAAUUGUACAAAACCACCAAGCAGAGGCAGGUGAAGACUAUGGAUCCUGCUGUUAAGAAGAACAUUAAAAAAAGCUACAGACCGUUAAAUCAACAGAAAGCUGAGGAAGAGCUCAAAGAGAAGAACCAGCUGUUAGAGGCAGUUAACAGGCAGUUGCACCUGAAAUUGACUGAAAGCCAGGGAGAGGUGAAGGUGCUGACUCAAAAGGUGGAGUUGCUGGAGAAAUCUCAGGAUAGCUACUUGGCAGUUUUGGAGAGUGGCAAUAUUAACCCAGUUACAGGCAGACAAAUCCUGGAAAACCGGCAAGAAACAAUGAAAUGUCAAAUGGAGUCUGUGUUGCUCUUGGAAAGUCUGAAAGAUGAACUGAAGCUCUUUAAUCAGACAGCUACAAAGCAGAUGGAGGAGUUACAGGCAUUGAAAGUUAAGUUGAAGAUGGAAGAAGAGGAAAGAGCUGGUUUUCUAGAAAAACGGGCAGCAUUUAACAACAAAAGAGAUGAUUUCACAGCCACCCUUGAGCAAAUGGAACAAUUACUAUCACUUUGAGAAGAAAGGGGGUUCAUAUCUUCAGCUAAGGUCAAACUAUAAAAACAUUUUCUUAAGUUUUCCUAGGAAAGGACUUCCUUGCUCCCCUAACUAAAAUAUCUUCAGAAACAAAGUUGGGAUAAUCCAGGUUUGUACUGAGGGGUGUUCCUGCCUUAUAAGCCUAUGUUAGCCAAGCAGCCAGGUAAGUGAAUCAUCUAUUGGGGGAUAGUUUUAAGAUCCAACAAGGAAAGCUGGACCCUUGGACUACCUUGCUGUAGUUACUAAGUAAGCAAUACAGCUCUGAGAGCAGAAUCAGAAACUGAAACAAGUUAACAAGAACAAGAAGGAUCAUUUUCAGAUUGGGACUGGAAAUUUGAAAUGUUAAAAAAACAGUAUGUAGAGUGGACUAACAGGAAAGAGAUGCAGAGUCCCAUGUUGUCAUAACCCAAUUUUAGCCACGGUUUUUUUAGUGAGCUUUUCCUAGUUGGGAUUUAAGCAUAUCUUAUGGCAUGAACUCUCCCUUAUGCUACUUCCUUUCUACUCCCAGCCAAAUUUCUGAACUUGAA